RNAcentral lists this long non-coding RNA (356 nucleotides) under Gallus gallus (chicken). Lineage: Eukaryota; Metazoa; Chordata; Aves; Galliformes; Phasianidae. The record is from RNAcentral.
CAGUUCUUCUCAGGAGACCUUCAGUGUGACCUAUGAUACAUCAUCAUCUUGUACCAAUCCUGCACAUCAAGUCCUCUUCUUCUGAGGCAGGGAACUUCAGGGUAUGUGAAUGUCUCCCGCUGGAGGACUCUGCAAGAUGGAGCACAAGUUUCAGGCCAGCUAGCAAACAAAUGUCCUACUUCAAGAACUUGAGAAGACGGCUCUGCCGGCGGCUGCCGCCGCUCCUCCUCGCUCCUCGGCGCGGAGCCGGGCGGGCAGCGGGGCCGCCCCUCCGUGACCGGCACCUGCGAGCGCCCGUCAGCGCGCGGCCGGGCGGCGGCGGAUCCCCGAGUCCCGGGGGCGCGGCGCGGGGCCGC